RNAcentral lists this ribosomal RNA (558 nucleotides) under uncultured bacterium. RNAcentral's name for it is "bacterial SSU rRNA". It matches the Rfam family "Bacterial small subunit ribosomal RNA", at positions 776 to 1334 of the family's 1533-position model. The record is from RNAcentral.
AAAUAGAUACCCGGGUAGUCCACGCCGUAAACGAUGAGUGCUAAGUGUUGGGGGGGUUUCCGCCCCUCAGUGCUGCAGCUAACGCAUUAAGCACUCCGCCUGGGGAGUACGGUCGCAAGACUGAAACUCAAAGGAAUUGACGGGGGCCCGCACAAGCGGUGGAGCAUGUGGUUUAAUUCGAAGCAACGCGAAGAACCUUACCAGGUCUUGACAUCCCGGUGACCACUAUGGAGACAUAGUUUCCCCUUCGGGGGCAACGGUGACAGGUGGUGCAUGGUUGUCGUCAGCUCGUGUCGUGAGAUGUUGGGUUAAGUCCCGCAACGAGCGCAACCCUUAUUCUUAGUUGCCAUCAUUUAGUUGGGCACUCUAAGGAGACUGCCGGUGAUAAACCGGGAGGAAGGUGGGGAUGACGUCAAAUCAUCAUGCCCCUUAUGACCUGGGCUACACACGUGCUACAAUGGACGGUACAAACGGUUGCCAACCCGCGAGGGGGAGCUAAUCCGAUAAAACCGUUCUCAGUUCGGAUUGUAGGCUGCAACUCGCCUACAUGAAGGACCG